Molecule: small nucleolar RNA, 48 nt
Filed under: Pyrobaculum calidifontis JCM 11548
Lineage: Archaea; Thermoproteati; Thermoproteota; Thermoprotei; Thermoproteales; Thermoproteaceae
Description: PCAsR138
Source: RNAcentral
GUGAUGAAUCCUUCCGCUAAGGACACGUGACGAAUACAGCGGCUCUGA